Mus musculus (house mouse) is the source of this 1901-nucleotide long non-coding RNA. RefSeq annotates it as predicted gene, 35620. The transcript is spliced from 2 exons. The record is from RefSeq and is a predicted model, not a curated record. Lineage: Eukaryota; Metazoa; Chordata; Mammalia; Rodentia; Muridae.
CCUCUGAAGUCACAGAUGUCUGCAGUUAAAAAUUAAACCAUUCAUCAAGUGAACAUUGUGUCAGGCAGACACAACAAUGGGAGCUGAUGAGACAAGUGUCUAGAGAACGAACAUUCUUGUCAGUCAAAGUCUUAAGGAAGCCUGCCGCGUAAAACUGUGUUCAUUCGUGGCCCACAGCAGAUGGAGGAGGCAUGCCAUCCCUACCUGGACACUGUCAUAAGUCCUCUCCUGGCUCGCUGUCCUUCAGAACAUCACCAUUGGCUAUAAAAGCACAGUGAGAGCUUUUAACAAUUGUGUCACUACUCUUGAGAUGCCCACCCAGAGAAAAUAACUAGCAUCGACUGAGCACUUCCUAUGCGAAAGAAUUUAUAUUCUUUUCAAUCCCAAAAGACAGGAAUUUAUUUUCCCUGUCAUGGGCAAGGAAACAACGUAUGUAUCCUCAGCCAAUCACAGGAAUCAAGGCUCGGAUGGCCAAGCCUGAAGACAUCUGUCCUAGGGUUGCCCCGUAAUGGAUGAGCAUCCUGGAAGAUGGACUUUCAAUCCUAAAACAGGAUACAAUUGGCUAACCCCGGAAGGAGCGUGGAGUCAGGCGUGGAGGCCUUGGACAUCUCUUUCACGUAAGAACAAGCCACACUGCAGUUCUGGCUCCAGGACGGAGCAGGAAAAGGAGUCAAACAGGAACCUCGCACAGUGUGAAAAUAGAUAUAAAGUCUUCCCAUCAUCAGAAAAACCCGGCUUCAGUUUCCAAGCCAGCACCCAGUGCAGGUCAUAGAGGAGGAGACAGGCUUGGUUGGGGGACAAGAUUUGACACUAGAGAUUAGAGGGACACCUGGUUUUUCUUCUUUCUGUGAACCCAAGAAAUCUAAAACUAGAUGAAUGUUUUGAGUAUAUUCCCACAGGUCUACAGGGUUUAGUGUCUGAACACACACUUCUCUGGGAAGUUUCAGGGUUCACAUCCCCCUCUGGGGAUGGAAUCAGAGUCUUUGUUCAGAGCUGCCACCACCACCCCAGAAGCCCUUUGGAGGAUAAAGAAUGGACCCCCCCCCCCGCCGUUUUCUUCUGCUGCUUGUUUUUGGGGGGAGGAGGGGGACCUCACUCUUCUCCGGUUAGCUGGGAUGUGUUCCAGUAGCCCAUGUCCUAGUUGUCCACUUUGAACUUGAAUGUACUACUCCACAGAAGCUGCUGAAACUGGGUAACUUUGUGCUCUAGAAGCCCAGCCCCCACUGUGUGACACCCCCCCCCCAGGCUCUCUCUGCCGGGUGGGCUGGUGGGCUAGAGGGAGAUGCUAACAUUUCAGUGGUUCCCAUGGCAGCAUCUGAGAAGAUGCUAGCCAUGGCAGCUGAGGCAGAGUUCAGGAGACCCCAGAGAAGAACACUCUGUGAGCGGCUGGUUCCCAUGGCAACUGCAGAGUGCCCCUGAGCAGCCAGGAACCUGUAACCAAGGCUAGGUCAGCCUUGAAAAUCUAGAAUGUCUGUGGCUGCAACCUGCAGCAGAACACCUUUCCAGGGUGGUAUUUUUAGUACUGGCAUGUCCUAAAUAGCUGAGCUUCCAGUCCGUGAAAGCAGUCAUCUCUCUCAGACUGAAGCUAUUCAUCUAUCUGUAACAGAAAGAAUUAGAAUCUGUGGUGGUUUGCAAUAAGUGCCCCUCACAGGCUUGGGUAUGUGAACACCCCAUCCCCAGAUGGUGGCUCUGUUUUAGGAGGUGGGCAGCCUUGCUGGAUAAAGUACAACAGUGGGAGUGGGCUCCGAGAGUUUAUAGCCUUUCCCUCACAUCCUCCUCACACACUCCGCUUCCUAUGCAGAUGAAUUAUGAUCAGUCAGCUUCCUAGUCACGCCAUUAUACCAUCCCUUCCCUGCCAUGAGGAACCAUAAGCUAAAAUAAAACCUUUCUUUCUUAAGUUA